Molecule: long non-coding RNA, 1043 nt
Filed under: Helianthus annuus (common sunflower)
Lineage: Eukaryota; Viridiplantae; Streptophyta; Magnoliopsida; Asterales; Asteraceae
Source: RNAcentral
GGGUUUCAAAAUACGCUCGAUACACCCAAUCGAAUUGCAGGAGAAAAUCAAUCAAAGAUCAACGAAGAUGAUCGAGGUGGUGUUGAACGAUCGUUUGGGGAAGAAGGUCCGUGUGAAGUGCAACGACGACGACACCAUCGGCGACUUGAAGAAGCUCGUUGCAGCGCAGACCGGUACCCGUGCUGACAAGAUUAGGAUCCAGAAGUGGUACAACAUCUACAAGGAUCAUAUCACCCUUAAGGACUACGAGAUUCACGAUGGCAUGGGUCUUGAACUCUACUACAAUUGAGUCUGUAGUUAUUAUGAUGCCGGUUACGAUUGUAUACAUUUGUUCAUACAGAAACCAAAAUGUUGCGAUUAAAUUAUAAAUAAAGGUGAUUCCACAAGAGAAAUUGCAAACAUUACAGGAUGUCAUGGGCAAGAAAUUGCAGUGCUAUCUAAAGUUGAAUCCCAUAAUUAUUAAAGGUAGUGUUUUGAUAUCGUCGUAGCAAAGAUGGAGUAUUUUGAUCUUGAAUGAAUAUCAAAUCUUAAGUGCAACUUAAAUAGAAAUGCCGGUUAUUUUAACGUGUAUGGUCCCUGCUAUUUUUUCCCAUGGCCAUUCAGCUUUUCUUUUUGGUUUCCUUGGGUCUCUGUGCAGUAUUUAUAUGCUUUUUGGCUGGGUGUUUGGUUGGGAUGAUUCACAAACAAUUUCUAAUCCAUUUCUUUUUAUUUUUUAUGCUUCUACAAAUAACUGAUAUUACAAAAAACAAUAUUAUUGCAAUAUUAAUUGAUUAAAAUGGGUGACUUUCAACCUGACCCUUUUGACCCGUUCAUGUUUUAGCUUUUUUUUAUGAUCCUUUUGAGCUACAACACAAUCCCAACCCAAAUCGAAUGUAAAUGGCUCACGUUUUGACAUAAACGUUUUCCUCAAGCGAGUCUGGUAAAAACUAAUACGUUUUAUACUUAGUUUGUGUACGUUCGUAAACUGUAUUUGAAAGCAAGUCGGGUCAGAUAUAAUUCGUUUUCAUUCAAUGAUAAUGUAAUUUUUUUAAGUAAAGAGUCGG